This 263-nucleotide ribosomal RNA is filed under the name Saccharomycetaceae sp. KS1-2007. RNAcentral's name for it is "partial 26S ribosomal RNA". It matches the Rfam family "Eukaryotic large subunit ribosomal RNA", at positions 373 to 649 of the family's 3401-position model. The record is from RNAcentral. Lineage: Eukaryota; Fungi; Ascomycota; Saccharomycetes; Saccharomycetales; Saccharomycetaceae.
ACUUUGAAAAGAGAGUGAAAAAGUACGUGAAAUUGUUGAAAGGGAAGGGCUUUGAGAUCAGACUUUGGUAUUUUGUGUUCCUUAUCCUUCUUGGAUUAGGUUCCUCACAGCUUACCGGGCCAGCAUCGGUUUGGAUGGCAGGAUAAUGACAUUGGAAUGUAGCUUUGCUUCGGUGAAGUGUUAUAGACUUUGUUGAUACUGCCUAUCUAGACCGAGGACUGCGUCUUUUGACUAGGAUGCUGGCGUAAUGAUCUUAAGCCGCC